RNAcentral lists this ribosomal RNA (1027 nucleotides) under uncultured bacterium. RNAcentral's name for it is "bacterial SSU rRNA". It matches the Rfam family "Bacterial small subunit ribosomal RNA", at positions 356 to 1376 of the family's 1533-position model. The record is from RNAcentral.
AGGGAAUCUUCGGCAAUGGGGGCAACCCUGACCGAGCAACGCCGCGUGAGUGAAGAAGGUUUUCGGAUCGUAAAGCUCUGUUGUAAGUCAAGAACGAGUGUGAGAGUGGAAAGUUCACACUGUGACGGUAGCUUACCAGAAAGGGACGGCUAACUACGUGCCAGCAGCCGCGGUAAUACGUAGGUCCCGAGCGUUGUCCGGAUUUAUUGGGCGUAAAGCGAGCGCAGGCGGUUUGAUAAGUCUGAAGUUAAAGGCUGUGGCUCAACCAUAGUUCGCUUUGGAAACUGUCAAACUUGAGUGCAGAAGGGGAGAGUGGAAUUCCAUGUGUAGCGGUGAAAUGCGUAGAUAUAUGGAGGAACACCGGUGGCGAAAGCGGCUCUCUGGUCUGUAACUGACGCUGAGGCUCGAAAGCGUGGGGAGCGAACAGGAUUAGAUACCCUGGUAGUCCACGCCGUAAACGAUGAGUGCUAGGUGUUGGAUCCUUUCCGGGAUUCAGUGCCGCAGCUAACGCAUUAAGCACUCCGCCUGGGGAGUACGACCGCAAGGUUGAAACUCAAAGGAAUUGACGGGGGCCCGCACAAGCGGUGGAGCAUGUGGUUUAAUUCGAAGCAACGCGAAGAACCUUACCAGGUCUUGACAUCCCGAUGCUAUUUCUAGAGAUAGAAAGUUACUUCGGUACAUCGGUGACAGGUGGUGCAUGGUUGUCGUCAGCUCGUGUCGUGAGAUGUUGGGUUAAGUCCCGCAACGAGCGCAACCCCUAUUGUUAGUUGCCAUCAUUCAGUUGGGCACUCUAGCGAGACUGCCGGUAAUAAACCGGAGGAAGGUGGGGAUGACGUCAAAUCAUCAUGCCCCUUAUGACCUGGGCUACACACGUGCUACAAUGGUUGGUACAACGAGUUGCGAGUCGGUGACGGCAAGCUAAUCUCUUAAAGCCAAUCUCAGUUCGGAUUGUAGGUUGCAACUCGCCUACAUGAAGUCGGAAUCGCUAGUAAUCGCGGAUCAGCACGCCGCGGUGAAUACGUUCCCG